Molecule: ribosomal RNA, 30 nt
Filed under: Azadinium spinosum
Lineage: Eukaryota; Dinophyceae; Gonyaulacales; Amphidomataceae
Description: partial small subunit ribosomal RNA
Source: RNAcentral
CCGUAGGGUGAACCUGCGGAAGGAUCAUUC